This 452-nucleotide ribosomal RNA is filed under the name Helopeltis sp. RNAcentral describes it as "12S ribosomal RNA". The record is from RNAcentral. Lineage: Eukaryota; Metazoa; Arthropoda; Insecta; Hemiptera; Miridae.
AUAAACUAGGAUUAGAUACCCUAUUAUAUAAAUAGUAAAUUUAUUUCCUUAUUAUUAAAAGUUAUGGUCUUUAAAAUUAAAGAAUUUGGCGGUAAUUUAACCUAUCAGAGGAACCUGUCCUGUAAUUGAUAAUCCACAAUUAAUUUUACUUAUAUUAGACUUAUAUAUCUCUGUUGUUGAAUAUCUUUUUAAAGUAUAUUCAUUUUUAAUAUAAGUUAAAAAUAACAAGUCAAGGUUUAGUAAUAUAUAAGUAGAGAUGGGUUACAUUUUUAUUAAAAUUGGAAAAUUAUAUGUAAAUGUUUUGGAAAUUGGAUUUGAUAGUAAAAUUUUUUAUAUUAAAAUUUUGAUUUAGGAUCUAAAUUAUGUACAUAUCGCCCGUCGCUCUCAUAAUAUAUAUUAUUUUUGAGAUAAGUCGUAACAAAGUAGAUUUAUUGGAAAAUGAAUCUAGAAUG